AUGGGCUGUCUGCAGAAUCCGCACCAACAGGCACCAUGCCCAUGAUCCUGGGGUACUGGGACAUCCGUGGGCUGGCCCACGCCAUCCGCCUGCUCCUGGAAUACACAGACUCAAACUACGAGGAAAAGAAGUACCUGAUGGGGCACGCUCCUGACUAUGACAGAAGCCAGUGGCUGAAUGAAAAAUUCAAACUGGGCCUGGACUUUCCCAAUCUGCCCUACUUGAUUGAUGGGACUCACAAGAUCACCCAGAGCAAUGCCAUCAUGUGCUACAUUGCCCGCAAACACAACCUGUGUGGGGAGACAGAAGAGGAGAAGAUUCGUGUGGACAUUUUGGAGAACCAGCUUAUGGACAACCGCAUGGAGCUGGCCAGACUCUGCUUUGACCCAAAUUUUGAGAAACUGAAGCCCAAGUACUUAGAGCAACUCCCUGAAAAGCUAAAGCUCUACUCACAGUUUCUGGGGAAGCGGCCAUGGUUUGCAGGAGACAAGAUCACCUUUGUGGAUUUCCUUGCCUAUGAUGUCCUUGACGUGAAGCGUAUAUUUGAGCCCGGCUGCCUGGACGCCUUCCCAAACCUGAAGGACUUCAUCUCCCGCUUUGAGGGUUUGAAGAAGAUCUCUGCCUACAUGAAGUCCAGCCGAUUCCACCGAGGUCUUUUGUUCAGAACGACAGCCACGUGGAACAGCACAUAGGGCCCCGUGAUGCCAGAAGACGGGAGGGAAGAGCCGACCCUGCUGCCUGCGACCCCGGAGAACAGCCCGACUCCCUGGACCCGCCUUCUUUCUUUCUCCUUCUUUCUACUGUCUUCUCUUCCUCAAGGCCUCAUUGGCUUCCUUUCUUCUAACAUCAUCCCUCCCUGCAUCAAGGCUCUUUAAAGCUUCAGCUCCCCACUGUCAUCCAUCAAAGUCCCCCUCCUAACAUCUUUCUUUUCCUGCACUAACGCCAACCUGACUGCUUUUCCUGUCAGUGCUUGUCUCUUCUUUGAGAAGCCAGACUGAUCUCUGAGCUCCCUAGCACUGUCCUCAAAGACCAUCCGCAUGCCCUGCUCCCUUUGCUAGGUCCCUACCCCAGCCCUGUGUGAUGCCCAGUAAAGCCUGAACCAUGAAAAAAAAAAAAAAAAAAAAA
Molecule: RNA transcript, 1125 nt
Organism: Piliocolobus tephrosceles (Ugandan red Colobus)
Lineage: Eukaryota; Metazoa; Chordata; Mammalia; Primates; Cercopithecidae
Gene name: glutathione S-transferase Mu 5 pseudogene
Exons: 1
Source: RefSeq, a predicted model, not a curated record